UCGACACCCACCACUGUAAUUGUUGCUAUUUCUUCGUGACACAAGUCAACAUUUUAAUUUAUGUUACAAUUAACUAAAACAUAGAGCCUCUAGCAAUUUAGAUUUAUAUUUUUAAUUGUGCAAAAUGUUUGGAGAAACGUUGAGACUUCAUGACAGGUCAGAUUUCCUUUGAUCUUUCGAAGGAAACAAAGCUCACUUCCAUAACAAUGACAUUUAAUGGAAAAGCAAAGGUACAGUGAACAACACAAAGGGGAGGUGGAGGACGACGCAGAAGGCAUCGACGAGUCCACUCGGCAAAGCUGGAAUUCUUCAACGUCUCUCAAUACGUAUUGCAAGAAAAUAACGUGGUCCCUAACACCACACUUCAACCAGGAACCCAUGUGUACCCGGUCACAUGCCAAAUUCCACAAGGUAUAAUCUACUCAAUGAAGGUGGCGAUACACAGGCCCUGGCAUCUAACCAAGGAGUUAGAGAAGGAGUUCAACUUUGCCAGCCACAGAGAUGACAACCAACCACAUCUUCUGGCAGAAACAUUUUUGAACCUGGACGCCAUGAGUAGGCUACCCCUUUUCUUUUCAGAUUCCUACAAAGUAAGUUCUAUUCACUCCCUAUAAUUCACUUUGAAUUCAUUCAAAGUGAAACUCUUCUGCACAAUUGAGAGCAUCCUGUCAGGCUGUAUCACCGCCUGGUAUGGCAACUGCACCGCCCACAACCGCAGGGCUCUCCAGAGGGUGGUGCAGUCUGCCUUAACGCAUCACCGGGUGCAAACUACAUGCCCUCCAGGACACCUACAGCACCCGAUGUCACAGGAAGGCCAGAAAGAUCAUCAAGGACAACAACCACCCGA
This is a long non-coding RNA of Coregonus clupeaformis (lake whitefish), 847 nucleotides long. RefSeq lists it as uncharacterized. Lineage: Eukaryota; Metazoa; Chordata; Actinopteri; Salmoniformes; Salmonidae. The record is from RefSeq and is a predicted model, not a curated record. The transcript has 4 exons.